GACGAACGCUGGCGGCGUGCCUAACACAUGCAAGUCGAACGGUAAGGCCCGGCUCUUGUUGUUUGCUCGUGUGGCGAACGGGUGCGUGACACGCGUGUAACAUCUCCUUGACUUUGGGAUAUCUUUAGGAAACUGGGUCUCUUAUCGGGCAUGAGCACCUGCUGCCCGGUGGGGGUUGGUAAGAUGCGGCGGUUGGGGAUGGAAUCGCGGCCUAUCAGCUUGUUGGUGGGGUAGUGGCUUACCCAGGCUCUGACGGGUAGCCGGCCUGAGAGGGUGACCGGCCACAGUGGGACUGGGAUACGGGCCAGACUCCUACGGGAGGCAGCAGUGGGGAAUAUUGCACAAUGGGCGGAAGCCUGAUGCAGCAACGCCGCGUGCGGGAUGACGGCCUUCAGGUUGUAAACCGCUUUCGCCUGUAACGAAGCGUGAGUGACGGUAAUGGGUAAGAAAGCACCGGCUAACUACGUG
This 468-nucleotide ribosomal RNA is filed under the name uncultured bacterium. RNAcentral's name for it is "partial 16S ribosomal RNA". It matches the Rfam family "Bacterial small subunit ribosomal RNA", at positions 28 to 507 of the family's 1533-position model. The record is from RNAcentral.